CACAUGUUUCAGCCUGAUUUCCAGAAGUAUGAUUUUUAAAACAUAUUUUAUUUAACAUUAAAAUAUAUUUUCAAAAGCAUAUUACUUUUUUUUCAUUUCUUUCUUUUUCUUUUUUUUCAGGUAAAUAGCUAGUUGAGAUCAGAGACCUCUUUCAUAAGGGUAACCUAGCCUAGAAGGAAGCAGCACUUGUUGUUAACUUAACAAACAACCACAUAUAGAAAUAAGCAUACUUUAAAUCAUAAUGCAGUUAUACUUGUAUCUGUUUGUAAACAGUAAACACAUGUGUACACAGGGGAAAAGUGUGUCCUCCCGCCCAGCCUGCUAGCGCAGUGCAUUCAGUUGGACCAAUCAGAAUCAAGGUUUUCAAAUCGACGACCCAAUCACACAACGUAAAAGUUCGCUUCACGAAAGUUAACGUGUGAACGUGGCGUUGAGAGAGGGAAGCUAUUUCUGGCAAGAAAUCCUUUUGUUUCUUAGGUUUCCUUUGUUUUACUUUACCGACUCAGACUUGGAAGGUGGACACCACAGACAUAAUAAGAAAAGAACACAGAAGAGAAGAAUAUCCAGUCAGCUCCCUGCAGGAAUUAAAUGUGAAAAGAGCUAAAGAGGUGUGCCUGGCAAGUACAAGCAGGAGAGGACAGACACAGAUACUGCCAGCAAAAAUCAUCUUUCUUGAGCUUCCUGGGAUCGUUGCCUCACUCAGAUGGCUCAGAGGCCAUGAAAAUCUCAAAGGACCAGCUGGACCCUCACAAGCUCAAUGUGCUCAUAGGCUUUACUGGGGCGGAGCUGCCGGAGCUGCCCAGGCAAACUUGGAGACCCAUUUUAAUUGCAGUGCUGCACAGCACAUAUUCACAUCCCUCACUCGGUCGCUCCCUCUCUCUCUCCUGCAUGUACACAACCCAUCUGUGAAUUGAAUGAUGCUGUGUGAUAAAGCAGUUUCCAAAUCCUAUAGUGUCUGCAGUCACAGAAAAUGCAACAAGUCCUACUCAAAGAUACCGACCCUCCACUCCAAGGAUAAGGAUUGUGACAUUUUUCAGUUUCAGUUUGGUUCCACCAUUUGUACUGUAAGCUUGUGACGGAGUACCUUCACUACAGUUGAGUAAGCGCUCGGACUGCCAUACCAACGAGCCUGGCUCUUUGGCCUUGCUGUCAAAGUUGCAUGUUUGGUUCCCUGUAGACCUGUGUUUGAAUCUGGGUAGGGUGACUGCUCUCACCUUUGGCCGCAUAUGGUGUUAGAAGUGGGAUGGCUUGCCGUGAGGUCAUCUGAGCCGUGCCCAGAGUCCGAACCGUAUGAGGGACCACCAUGGGUAACAUUAAUGAUGGGAUGUGUACUUUUCAGUAAUACUGAUCGUAUGUCAUCAUUUUACUGAUUUUAUUUUUAUUUGAAGGUAUUUUGGUCAAGAUGUGAUACAUGCUGUUGUACCUUUUAAUGCACAGGAAUUUUUGUAAUGUACACAAAAUUAAAGUUUUUUAGUUGUC
Molecule: long non-coding RNA, 1479 nt
Organism: Micropterus salmoides (largemouth bass)
Lineage: Eukaryota; Metazoa; Chordata; Actinopteri; Centrarchiformes; Centrarchidae
Exons: 4
Source: RefSeq, a predicted model, not a curated record